This 644-nucleotide ribosomal RNA is filed under the name uncultured bacterium. RNAcentral's name for it is "bacterial SSU rRNA". It matches the Rfam family "Bacterial small subunit ribosomal RNA", at positions 232 to 885 of the family's 1533-position model. The record is from RNAcentral.
CGCGGCCUAUCAGCUUGUUGGUGAGGUAACGGCUCACCAAGGCAUCGACGGGUAGCUGGUCUGAGAGGACGAUCAGCCACACUGGGACUGAGACACGGCCCAGACUCCUACGGGAGGCAGCAGCAGGGAAUAUUGCGCAAUGGGCGAAAGCCUGACGCAGCGACACCGCGUGAAGGAUGAAGGCCCUCGGGUUGUAAACUUCUUUCAGUGGGGAAGAAGCGAUAGUGACGGUACCCACAGAAGAAGCCCCGGCCAACUACGUGCCAGCAGCCGCGGUAAUACGUAGGGGGCAAGCGUUGUCCGGAUUCAUCGGGCGUAAAGAGCUCGUAGGCGGCUUGGCAAGUCGGUCGUGAAAUACCGAGGCUCAACCUCGGAACGCCGAUCGAAACUGCCAUGGCUAGGGUCCGGUAGAGGAGAGUGGAAUUCCCGGUGUAGCGGUGAAAUGCGCAGAUAUCGGGAGGAACACCAGUAGCGAAGGCGGCUCUCUGGGCCGGUACCGACGCUGAGGAGCGAAAGCGUGGGGAGUGAACAGGAUUAGAUACCCUGGUAGUCCACGCCGUAAACGGUGGGUACUAGGUGUGGGUUUCCUUCCUUGGGAUCCGUGCCGUAGCUAACGCAUUAAGUACCCCGCCUGGGGAGUACGG